AUAAAAAAUGAAGAAGGUAGAAAACUGUAAGAACUUUCAGAGCAAGUCAGAGACUGCCAAAGGAAGAACAGAACUUCCUCUGUGAUAUAGGAAAAGCUUUCCAUGGAAAAGGCUCAAGUGGGAAAUGUAAUAACAACACAUUCCCUGAGGAAAUCUGCCACCUUAGACUGUGUGCCUGAUGGAGACCAAGCAUAGAUUCAUUUAGAUAUCUUAUUUAAACAUCCCUCUGGAGGAAUAACAAAACAAAACAACAACAAAAAAACCAACCACCCAAGCCACAGCGAGACCCUGGAAGUCAGAAGUAAUUGAGUGGAUGAGCUGCAACUGUGCUGCUUCUAGGCCAAGGAAAAAGGCAAGUACAAUGGGCUGAUUUUUAUCUGAAAUAUCACAUUUGCAGUUAAAUUUGAUUGCAAGCAUACACAAUCAGACUUCUUAUUCUUGUAGCUAAAGUAGCUCUUAUUUCACUUCUAAGUUAAAACAAGGUCAUUAUCAUCUUA
Molecule: long non-coding RNA, 497 nt
Filed under: Coturnix japonica (Japanese quail)
Lineage: Eukaryota; Metazoa; Chordata; Aves; Galliformes; Phasianidae
Description: lncRNA (ENSCJPG00005021506.1)
Source: RNAcentral